GACGAACGCUGGCGGCGUGCUUAACACAUGCAAGUCGAACGGAAAGGCCCUGCUUUUGUUGGUUUCUCGAGUGGCGAACGGGUGAGUAACACGUGAGUAACCUGCCCUUUACUUUGUUAUAUCUUCAUGUAACUGGUGCUAUUACCGUAUAUGAUCUCCUGCUGCUUGUUGGUCGUUUGAUAGUUUCGGCGGUUGUGGAUGGACUCGAGGCUUAUCAGCUUGUUUGUGGUGUAGUGGCUUACCAAGGGUUUGACGGGUAGACGGCAUGAGAGGGUUACCGGCGAAAAUGGGACUGAGAUAGGGAGCAGACGGGAACGGGAGGCAGAAGUGGGGAAUAUAGCAAAAUGGGAGGAAGGGUGAUGAAGAAAAGGAGCGUGCGGGAUGAAGGCCUUCGGGUUGUAAACAGCAUUAGCAUGAGACGAAGAGUGAGUGACGGUAAUGGGUAAAGAAGCACCGGCUAACUACGUG
RNAcentral lists this ribosomal RNA (468 nucleotides) under uncultured bacterium. RNAcentral describes it as "partial 16S ribosomal RNA". It matches the Rfam family "Bacterial small subunit ribosomal RNA", at positions 28 to 507 of the family's 1533-position model. The record is from RNAcentral.